UGAAAGGGCGAAAAGUUAUGGAUUGAAACAAAACAAAACAAUGAUGUAACGACUAUUGAAAGAGAAUCCCCGUCUGUCAGUUCCGCAUACUAGGUGAAGUGUGAACGAGGCGAAUGAGUUGUGUGUAAUUGAUCUAACCAUCGAGAGCUAAUUAAUACUAACUAUGUCUGAGAUACUUACUUAUAUUACACGAAUGGAAGCCACCUCAGACUGUUAUAAAAAAAACUACAUUAGACGUAUAGUGAAAAAGGAUAGUGUGACGCGCGAAUUGUGCAAAUUUGAUGUGAGGGUUCAUGAAUAACCCCAGUGAACCCACGAACAAGAGAGGAAUGAGAACAAGAGCCAAGAACGAAUGAAAUAAUUUGUGAUAUAAGUAAUGAUGAAAAAUAAAUGAACAUGCAAAAUUAGAUGUAAAGAAAAUAAGAUGCGGAUGGAAAAAAAAGAAAGAAAAAAGAAAAAGUGGCAACUCGAAUGUAUGCGAACGCCCCCCACCAGGUGAGUGGCGAUACUCUUGGCUUGACGAGCAAACCGCUCACCUGUGAGGGACCGCCUGUAGAAACCCUCGCCUUUGUCGUCGUGCUUCGUAAUUAAAAACCUCGGGACCUUGGGCGCUGCUCGACGUCGCCACCGUCGUCCGCAGCACCGGCAACAAGACCCGGGGUUUUUCGCCCUAGCUUGGCGAACACCGAGGCACGACAACAGAUCACAGCCUCUCGACAAGGGUGGGGACCCCCCUGUCGCCCCCCGAGGAGUCGUGUGCUCCACCGGCUUCGGCAUACGGACAAAGCGUUAGUAGAAAAACGGAAUGUAUGCGAAGCCCUCUUUGGAACAGUACCCGCAUGAGACAUUUGCAGCGUUCGGGCUCUUAUCUGUUUGUUUCUUUAUUUCGAGUGGAUGGUAAUUAUAUCGUAUUUGUGUGUCUGGUGUGUAUGCGUGUUGGGGGCGCCUCGUGUAUUAUCUACGUGCCAAUACCGCAGCGUGCUGAAUUUUUAUAUAGUUUAUAGGUUGUAUCGUUUGUAUAGUUUGGAUUUAUAAAGUUAUCAAUUAUGUUACCUAUGAUUAAUAAAUUAGAAAUAUC
Long non-coding RNA from Penaeus monodon (black tiger shrimp), 1078 nucleotides. RefSeq lists it as uncharacterized. The transcript is spliced from 2 exons. The record is from RefSeq and is a predicted model, not a curated record. NCBI's taxonomy places the organism in Eukaryota, Metazoa, Arthropoda, Malacostraca, Decapoda, Penaeidae.